Molecule: transfer RNA, 118 nt
Filed under: Hypoxylon argillaceum
Lineage: Eukaryota; Fungi; Ascomycota; Sordariomycetes; Xylariales; Hypoxylaceae
Description: tRNA-Ser
Rfam family: tRNA
About the family: Transfer RNA (tRNA) molecules are approximately 80 nucleotides in length. Their secondary structure includes four short double-helical elements and three loops (D, anti-codon, and T loops). Further hydrogen bonds mediate the characteristic L-shaped molecular structure. tRNAs have two regions of fundamental functional importance: the anti-codon, which is responsible for specific mRNA codon recognition, and the 3' end, to which the tRNAs corresponding amino acid is attached (by aminoacyl-tRNA synthetases). tRNAs cope with the degeneracy of the genetic code in two manners: having more than one tRNA (with a specific anti-codon) for a particular amino acid; and 'wobble' base-pairing, i.e. permitting non-standard base-pairing at the 3rd anti-codon position.
Source: RNAcentral
GGCUAGGUGGCGGAGUGGUUAACGCGGUAGACUCGAAUUUCCAAUGAUUGAUUCAAUCCGGAAACUAAAAAGAAAUCUACUUCCUUCGGGAGCGUCUGUUCAAAUCAGGCCCUAGUCG